This 374-nucleotide ribosomal RNA is filed under the name uncultured organism. RNAcentral describes it as "partial 16S ribosomal RNA". It matches the Rfam family "Bacterial small subunit ribosomal RNA", at positions 527 to 896 of the family's 1533-position model. The record is from RNAcentral.
GGGGGGUGCAAGCGUUAUUCGGAAUCACUGGGCGUAAAGAGCGCGUAGGCGGUCUCUUAAGUCAGAUGUGAAAGCCCGGGGCUUAACCCCGGAAGUGCAUUUGAAACGGAGGGACUUGAGUAUGGGAGAGGGAAGUGGAAUUCCUGGUGUAGCGGUGAAACGCGUAGAUAUCAGGAGGAACACCGGUGGCGAUGGCGACUUCCUGGACCAAUACUGACGCUGAGGCGCGAAGGCGUGGGGAGCAAACAGGAUUAGAUACCCUGGUAGUCCACGCAGUAAACGUUGAACACUAGGUGUAGCGGGUAUUGACCCCCCUGCUGUGCCCGCAGCUAACGCAUUAAGUGUUCCGCCUGGGAAGUACGGCCGCAAGGCUA